GUUCCUCUUCAGUCCUGGGUUUAUUUUUGUACUCUUCCUUAAUGCAUCUGUAAGAGAUUAUUCUUUUAUAUGAUUGACUCAAAGUUUGCUGAGGAACAAGUCCAGGCAAGUCCUGGGCAAAGGCAGAGAAAUCUUUUGUCUUGAGGACACUGAUGGACAGGUCCUGGCUAAGGAUUGUGAAAUCCUCUAAGGAGCACAGAUGGACAAGGCCAGGGGCAACGAGGGAGAGAUAAGCUGUUGCUAAUGGCCAGGAAAUGGUCUUUUGUGUGGACUUAUCUCAAGGAAAAUGGCCAUCUCAGGAGGUAUGCACAGGACUCUUGCUCAAGCACCCAGGAAUGUCACGUAGGCAGCAGAAAAUGGAGGAUAAAAGAGGGUCCAACAACCACGGCGAUGUGGAGACUGAUCUCUACCACAAGGUAGAGGUUUAUCUCUCACCUCGACAGACUUGAGGGGUUCUCUGCCAUCUGAUCUCUCAUUGCAACGUGGAGGCUGAUCUCUCACCGCAACACAGAGGCUGAUCUCUCAUGAUCUCUCACCACGACACGAGCUUCCUGCCUUCAGAUCCUUCUCUACGGACCGUUUGCUGACGGACUUCCCUGGGCCUGCUACCUGAGACCUGCUGCUUCCUCCCUGACCUGCACCCUCUCGUUGCCCAAGACCGGCCCCGCUGCUCCUGCCCUUCGGCCUCGGACCGUCGGAACAUCGUGCAACGGGACUGCUGCCGGAUCCUGGUGGUGACUAUCCCCGCUUUACGCGAUUCUUGCCUCUUUCUAUCUUUUCUAUCGCUCGCCUUCCCUUCCCCAUCACCCCAAUCCUUAAUAGUGUCCGUCCUCCCCUUUCCCCAUCUCCCUUAUUAACAUUUGUAAUAAACUGGUCGGACCAACAUUUGAACCGCUGUUUCUUAAUCUCACGCUGGGCAUACAUAUUUCAAAGAACCUCCUCUCCCUCCUAUAAAUUGGAGUGAGACAAUGGUUUGUCUUUUUGUUGCUGUUG
RNAcentral lists this long non-coding RNA (993 nucleotides) under Gallus gallus (chicken). RNAcentral describes it as "lncRNA (ENSGALG00010000830.1)". Lineage: Eukaryota; Metazoa; Chordata; Aves; Galliformes; Phasianidae. The record is from RNAcentral.